UGGGGAAUUUUGCGCAAUGGGGGAAACCCUGACGCAGCAACGCCGCGUGGAGGAUGAAGUCCCUUGGGACGUAAACUCCUUUCGACCAAGACGAUAAUGAUGGUACUGGUGGAAGAAACACCGGCUAACUCUGUG
Molecule: ribosomal RNA, 135 nt
Filed under: uncultured bacterium
Lineage: Bacteria
Description: partial 16S ribosomal RNA
Rfam family: Bacterial small subunit ribosomal RNA
Source: RNAcentral